ACGGAAGGCAGCAGUGGGGAAUAUUGGGCAAUGGGGGGAACCCUGACCCAGCAACGCCGCGUGAAGGUAGAAGGCUUUCGGGUUGUAAACUUCUUUUAUGAGGGACGAAGGAUGUGACGGUACCUCAUGAAUAAGCUACGGCUAACUACGUGCCAGCAGCCGCGGUAAUACGUAGGUAGCGAGCGUUGUCCGGAUUUACUGGGUGUAAAGGGCGCGUAGGCGGGGAUGCAAGUCAGAUGUGAAAUCUAUGGGCUUAACCCAUAAACUGCAUUUGAAACUGUAUCUCUUGAGUGUCGGAGAGGUAGACGGAAUUCCUAGUGUAGCGGUGAAAUGCGUAGAUAUUAGGAGGAACACCAGUGGCGAAGGCGGUCUACUGGACGAUAACUGACGCUGAGGCGCGAAAGCGUGGGGAGCAAACAGGAUUAGAUACCCUGGUA
This is a ribosomal RNA of 437 nucleotides. It matches the Rfam family "Bacterial small subunit ribosomal RNA", at positions 341 to 792 of the family's 1533-position model.